CAAGGCCAUAGGUGGAGACAGCAACUUGAUGUGGAAUGCGGAGGCCUGCUACACUAGGAACAUAUCACAGGAGGUAUUAGGAGAGUCCAAGGAUAUAAGCUCACCUGAUAACAAAAUAUUGCAAAAACAAUAAGGUUUAUAUACAAGACAUUUAAGAAAGUACAAUAGCUAAACACGAACCAAAGAGGGUAAUUCUUCAAUCACAUAGGAGUGUGUGAAAAGUUAUAAAGUCAUAUUAAACCACAGCCAGAGAAAAAAGUUGCUCACUCUAUCUACGCAAAUGGAGAAAAGAAAUCAAGAUCAUGGGAGAGAGAGUAAUUGAGCACAGAGUAAAAUGUGUGAUGUUAUAUAUCUCUACCAUGAAAGCCAGUCAUCUCUUCCGGAAAUUGGCGGAAAGUGCAAAAAUAUAGAAGAAAGGCUUACAUGUGAUUAAUUUAAAACAAAGCAUAAGACAGGAUGCUCAAGAUAGCUUAUGGUGUGUUUUAGAUGACAAAGAACUUUCACUAACUACAUAAUGUUCACGUGAAUAUGCAUAACUUAGCGGUUGCUAAUGAGAUGGUAAUUAAAGUUUAUGUGCAUACAGGUGGGUGAGCAGAUGGUUGGAUAGGUAGGAAACCAAGAUGAGAAACAUCAACAAAAAUUCAUAUCAAGCACAAAAUAGAACCAAACAAUAAACCAAAAUAAAUAUUUCUCCUUCUCAUCACCACAUGUACUUCUAAUCCAAAUUGCCAUAUCAAUAAUUCCUGCUUCAACAAUUUAUAGCACAAACAGGUAACAUGUGAUAUCAAAUUAAAACUUACAGAAGGAACCAAAUCAUAAAAUUGAAAUUGCAACCACAAGUAAUGUCUCCAACAUUCAACAUUCACUAAUAAGGCGUGCACGGUGCAGAAAUAAUUCAAAUUCAAUACAAGGCAAAUCAUGUAACUGUAUCAAAUUACUAGAUUUUAGAAACAAUCAUUUACAAAUCUGUCCCAAAAUCUGAAAACGAACCAAAGAAAAAGAUAAGAAAAAGACAAAGAAGAAAAGAGUACAUCUGUUGGUGUUGGCUGACUCAAUGACUUGGCUCGAAAAUUGUAUUAGCACUAAAAUGGAAAGGAUAUAAGACUAAGAAAGAAUUGAUUGCUGAAAGUUUAAACAGAAAAAAGAUUAACUUACAAAUUCGAUGGUGGCAGCGGCAAUAUUUAAUAAUAGGUAAAAUAUUAAAACAAUUUAAUAACACAACAAUACUAAUAUUCAAAUUCCUGCUGUAACAACCCAAAAUGAAAUAAAAUACUUAUUUGCUAACCAAUUUGCAAUGCACAAGUAACAAUUUUAGCCCCUGUUUGACCCCCAUUACCUGAAAAUGAAAAUGGGGGGAAUAGUAUUUUAUAGAAAAAUGAGUGGUUGAAAAUAAGAAAAAAUUUUCGAUUUACGUGUAAUAUUAUUUUAUGGAAGAUUGUGUGGUUGAAAAUAGGAAAGAGAAAAAUGGAAUGUGAUGUAAUUUAAUUUAAUGGGUAUCAAACAGGGGCUUAAUAUUCAAACUCCCACUUAAAAUAUCAAGAACAAUUCACUUUUAGGGCUUAAUUUGUAGCAUGACAUAAGACUAACUCAAAUCUAAGAAAGCAUCAGACAUCAAUGUCACUCCUAUUAAUUUAAUGAUGCUGAGGCAUAUAAAACAUGCAUAUUCCUUUUGAGAAAAUAAUCAAUUAUCGUUUCAAACUCGCUUUUGAAUCAAAGUGGUUGUGCCUAUACUGAUCUGAUUCCCACUAGGCAAACAUAUAAAACAUAAAUGACAACAUUCAAAAAAUUAAAAUAUUAUCUUCAAGAUCCAACAAAACAACUUGAGUAUUUGUAAAAAAUCAUAGUCAAUAAAGACAAAACCCUAAACCAACAAUAAUAAUUGUAACAAUUCAAAAUUAA
This 1899-nucleotide long non-coding RNA is filed under the name Olea europaea subsp. europaea. The record is from RNAcentral. Lineage: Eukaryota; Viridiplantae; Streptophyta; Magnoliopsida; Lamiales; Oleaceae.